CGGGGUGUGGCUUAGCUUGGUAGAGCGCCUGGUUUGGGACCAGGAGGUCGCAGGUUCGAAUCCUGUCACCCCGA
This 74-nucleotide transfer RNA is filed under the name Butyrivibrio sp. RNAcentral's name for it is "tRNA-Pro". It matches the Rfam family "tRNA". Rfam says of the family: Transfer RNA (tRNA) molecules are approximately 80 nucleotides in length. Their secondary structure includes four short double-helical elements and three loops (D, anti-codon, and T loops). Lineage: Bacteria; Bacillati; Bacillota; Clostridia; Lachnospirales; Lachnospiraceae. RNAcentral also lists the same sequence under 4 other names. The record is from RNAcentral.